AUACGUAGGGGGCGAGCGUUGUCCGGAAUGACUGGGCGUAAAGGGCGUGUAGGCGGCGGUGUAAGUCUGGAGUGAAAGUCCCGCAUUCAAUGUGGGAAUUGCUUUGGAUACUGCAGUGCUAGAGUGCGGAAGAGGUAAGUGGAUUUCCCAGUGUAGCGGAGAAAUGCGUAGAGAUUGGGAGGAACACCAGUGGCGAAGGCGACUUACUGGGCCGUAACUGACGCUGAGGCGCGAAAGCGUGGGGAGCGAACAGGAUUAGAUACCCUGGUAGUCCACGCGGUAAACGAUGAAUGCUAGGUGUUGCGGGUAUCGACCCCUGCAGUGCCGGAGUAAACACAAUAAGCAUUCCGCCUGGGGAGUACGGCCGCAAGGUUGAAACUCAAAUGAAUGGACGGGG
RNAcentral lists this ribosomal RNA (397 nucleotides) under uncultured bacterium. Its description in RNAcentral is "partial 16S ribosomal RNA". It matches the Rfam family "Bacterial small subunit ribosomal RNA", at positions 523 to 918 of the family's 1533-position model. The record is from RNAcentral.